GCGAGCGGAUCCCUUCGGGGUGAAGCUCGUGGAACGAGCGGCGGACGGGUGAGUAACACGUGGGCAACCUGCCUGUAAGAUCGGAAUAACCCCGGGAAACCGGGGCUAAUGCCGGGUAAUACUUUCUUUCGCAUGAAGGAAAGUUGAAAGAUGGCUUCUCGCUAUCACUUACAGAUGGGCCCGCGGCGCAUUAGCUAGUUGGUGAGGUAACGGCUCACCAAGGCGACGAUGCGUAGCCGACCUGAGAGGGUGAUCGGCCACACUGGGACUGAGACACGGCCCAGACUCCUACGGGAGGCAGCAGUAGGGAAUCUUCCGCAAUGGACGAAAGUCUGACGGAGCAACGCCGCGUGAACGAUGAAGGUCUUCGGAUCGUAAAGUUCUGUUGUUAGGGAAGAACAAGUACCGUGCGAAUAGAGCGGUACCUUGACGGUACCUAACGAGGAAGCCCCGGCUAACUACGUGCCAGCAGCCGCGGUAAUACGUAGGGGGCAAGCGUUGUCCGGAAUUAUUGGGCGUAAAGCGCGCGCAGGCGGUUCCUUAAGUCUGAUGUGAAAGCCCACGGCUCAACCGUGGAGGGUCAUUGGAAACUGGGGAACUUGAGGACAGAAGAGGAGAGUGGAAUUCCACGUGUAGCGGUGAAAUGCGUAGAUAUGUGGAGGAACACCAGUGGCGAAGGCGACUCUCUGGUCUGUUUCUGACGCUGAGGUGCGAAAGCGUGGGUAGCAAACAGGAUUAGAUACCCUGGUAGUCCACGCCGUAAACGAUGAGUGCUAGGUGUUAGGGGGCUUCCACCCCUUAGUGCUGAAGUAACGCAUAAGCACU
RNAcentral lists this ribosomal RNA (825 nucleotides) under Halobacillus trueperi. RNAcentral's name for it is "bacterial SSU rRNA". It matches the Rfam family "Bacterial small subunit ribosomal RNA", at positions 62 to 868 of the family's 1533-position model. The record is from RNAcentral. Lineage: Bacteria; Bacillati; Bacillota; Bacilli; Caryophanales; Bacillaceae.